This 932-nucleotide ribosomal RNA is filed under the name Chlamydia abortus. Its description in RNAcentral is "partial 23S ribosomal RNA". The stretch from base 349 to 932 matches the Rfam family "Bacterial large subunit ribosomal RNA", at positions 1 to 589 of the family's 2925-position model. Lineage: Bacteria; Pseudomonadati; Chlamydiota; Chlamydiia; Chlamydiales; Chlamydiaceae. The record is from RNAcentral.
UGGUUUGCCUUAAGUCGUUGACUCAACCUGUAAAGGAGAGAGGCGCCCAAGGUGAGGCUGAUGACUGGGAUGAAGUCGUAACAAGGUAGCCCUACCGGAAGGUGGGGCUGGAUCACCUCCUUUUAAGGAUAAGGAUAACUGUCUUAGGACGGUUUGACUAGGUUGGGCAAGCGUUUUUAGUCUUGUAUUCUAUUUCUUUUGCAUUGUUAAGCGUUGUUUCCAAAACAUUUAGUUUACGAUCAAGUAUGUUAUGUAAAUAAAUGGUAACAAGUAAAUUCACAUAUAAUAAUAGACGUUUAAGAAUAUCUGUCUUUGGUGAAGUUAACUUGCAUGGAUCAAUAAUUUACAGACCAAGUUAUUAAGAGCUAUUGGUGGAUGCCUUGGCAUUGACAGGCGAUGAAGGAUGCGUUUACCUGCAGUAAUCUUCGGCGAGCUGGUAUAAAGCUGUGACCCGGAGGUCUCCGAAUGGGGCAACCCGAUAGAUUAAUCAUCUAUCAUUAUACGCUGAAUAUAUAGGCGUAUAAGGCGACACCUGCCGAACUGAAACAUCUUAGUAAGCAGAGGAAAAUAAAUCAAAGAGAUUCCCUGAGUAGCGGCGAGCGAAAAGGGAGAAGACUAAACCGCAUUUUUAAUGUGGGGUUGUAGGGUCGAUAACAUGGGAUCUUAAGUUUUAGUCGAAUACUUCUGGAAAGUGGAACGAUACAGGGUGAUAGUCCCGUAGGCGAAAAAACAAGAGACUCUAUUCGAUACCUGAGUAGGGCUAGACACGUGAAACCUAGUCUGAAUCUGGGGAGACCACUCUCCAAGUCUAAAUACUAGUCGAUGACCUAUAGUGAACCAGUACUGUGAAGGAAAGGUGAAAAGAACCCUUGUUAAGGGAGUGAAAUAGAACCUGAAACCAGUAGCUUAUAAGCGGUCGAAGACCUAUAACU